This 734-nucleotide long non-coding RNA is filed under the name Anas platyrhynchos platyrhynchos (common mallard). Its description in RNAcentral is "lncRNA (ENSAPLG00000024294.1)". The record is from RNAcentral. Lineage: Eukaryota; Metazoa; Chordata; Aves; Anseriformes; Anatidae.
CUGCUCCUCCCCACAGCACCUCACCGAUGCUCUCAUCGUCCAUGGUCAUGGACCCUGCGCUGCCGCCCCGCUGCCAAGACCUUGCCUUCAGGAACCCUAUGAGCUUUAUGACCAACCAGUACAUGCCCGGGGAGGCCUCCCAGCUGCUGCCCGGAGGCCCCUCGCCAGAGCCGCGGGAUGAGGAGAUGCCCGAGCUGGCCCCGUUCACGCCAAUGGACGCGCCGCUGCAGAGCUCCCCAAGGUGGAUGGCGCCCAGCAUGGACCUGCCGCCCAGCUCGGAGUUCGACCAGUUCCUCCAGGAGAUGUCCCUGGAGAGCCCCGCGCUCUGCCCCCCCUUCACGCCCCCCCUGCAGCGCAGCGGAUACCCCAGCCCCAACGCUUCGUGCUGGGGGCUGGGGGAGUCCCGGUGGGAUGACAGCGUGCGGCCGGGGCACGCGUGAGGGGGCCACGGGGGCCGUGGGACUGUGAGCCCCGACGCAGCCUCGUCUGGGCUCCUGGACUUGACACGAUUUGCGCCGGGGUAGCAAACUCUGGCAGGGGAGGGGAGGGAAUUUUCCGGGGGGAGGCAGCACUUCGGGUGACACCCUGCCCCCCCCCCAACCUGUGUAUACGCUGCACUUUGGAGCACGGAGCCGCUGCCUGCCCUUGCCGCUGCCAGCGGGGGGGCCCCGACCCGCGUGGGGGUGCCCCCGGCCUCGCCGCCAAGCUCGGUGCCCCCAGCCCACGCUGCCGGG